This 500-nucleotide ribosomal RNA is filed under the name uncultured bacterium. RNAcentral's name for it is "bacterial SSU rRNA". It matches the Rfam family "Bacterial small subunit ribosomal RNA", at positions 28 to 518 of the family's 1533-position model. The record is from RNAcentral.
GACGAACGCUGGCGGCGUGCCUAACACAUGCAAGUCGAACGGAGUAAGAGGAGAGCUUGCUUUCCUCUUGCUUAGUGGCGGACGGGUGAGUAACACGUGAGCAACCUGCCUUUCUGUGGGGGACAACACAGGGAAACCUGUGCUAAUACCCCAUGAUAUAUCCUUCUCGCAUGGGAGGGAUAUCAAAGGAGCAAUCCGCAGAGAGAUGGGCUCGCGUCCGAUUAGGUAGUUGGUAGGGUAACGGCCUACCAAGCCCACGAUCGGUAGCCGGACUGAGAGGUCGAACGGCCACAUUGGGACUGAGACACGGCCCAGACUCCUACGGGAGGCAGCAGUGGGGGAUAUUGCGCAAUGGGGGAAACCCUGACGCAGCAACGCCGCGUGAGUGAAGAAGGCCUCGGUGUAAGCUCUUCGCCGGAGAAAUCGUAUGGGUUAAUACCCUGUGCGGAUGACGGUACCGGCGAUAAGAAGACACCGGCUAACUACGUGCCAGCAGCCGC